RNAcentral lists this long non-coding RNA (388 nucleotides) under Musa acuminata (dwarf banana). Its description in RNAcentral is "long non-coding RNA (MACU_LNC001470)". The record is from RNAcentral. Lineage: Eukaryota; Viridiplantae; Streptophyta; Magnoliopsida; Zingiberales; Musaceae.
CAUGUUAUUAGCCUCUUAAGACUAAGAUUCUAUCUUACGUAUGAUCGGAUGGAUACGACGGACUACAUGUCAUGUUCCUACGUCAAGAGUAGACCUUCUUUCCACCUUGUUGAAGCCUGAUUGUUUAGAUUCAUGUGAAAAAAGUGUUCAUCAUCAUCCAAAAGAACAUUUAUCUGUAAAAAGAAUAAUGUAGUAGUCGGCUCCUGUUAGAUUUUGGACAUUUUUGGGAACUUUUGGAAGCCAUAAUUACAGGAAGUUCGAUAGAGAUAUAAAUCUAACGUUUGUACUUCCAUUUCAGAGUUUACAUGCUUCGAAGAUUCUAAGUAAACCCACUUCUGACUAAAGAAGAUUUUGAAUUAUGCCAUAAAAACUCUCUCUCUCUCUCUCU